RNAcentral lists this non-coding RNA (106 nucleotides) under Caryophanon tenue. RNAcentral's name for it is "SAM-I sequence". It matches the Rfam family "SAM riboswitch aptamer (S box leader)". Rfam says of the family: The SAM riboswitch is found upstream of a number of genes which code for proteins involved in methionine or cysteine biosynthesis in Gram-positive bacteria. The SAM riboswitch acts at the level of transcription termination control. The predicted structure consists of a complex stem-loop region followed by a single stem loop terminator region. Lineage: Bacteria; Bacillati; Bacillota; Bacilli; Caryophanales; Caryophanaceae. The record is from Rfam by way of RNAcentral.
CUCUUAUGAAGAGAGGUGGAGGGAAGUGCCCUGCGAAGCCCGGCAACCAUCAUGAUGAUGAAAAGGUGCCAAAUCACACAAAGAUUUAUUCUUUGAAAGAUGAGAG